UACGUAGGGACCAAGCGUUGUCCGGAUUCAUUGGGCGUAAAGGGCGUGUAGGCGGCGUGACAAGUCACUUGUGAAAUCUCCGGGCUUAACUCGGAACGGCCAAGUGAUACUGUCGUGCUAGAGUGCAGAAGGGGCAAUCGGAAUUCUUGGUGUAGCGGUGAAAUGCGUAGAUAUCAAGAGGAACACCUGAGGUGAAGACGGGUUGCUGGGCUGACACUGACGCUGAGGCGCGAAAGCUAGGGGAGCAAACGGG
Molecule: ribosomal RNA, 253 nt
Filed under: uncultured bacterium
Lineage: Bacteria
Description: partial 16S ribosomal RNA
Rfam family: Bacterial small subunit ribosomal RNA
Source: RNAcentral